This 813-nucleotide ribosomal RNA is filed under the name Microbacterium maritypicum. RNAcentral describes it as "bacterial SSU rRNA". It matches the Rfam family "Bacterial small subunit ribosomal RNA", at positions 37 to 859 of the family's 1533-position model. Lineage: Bacteria; Bacillati; Actinomycetota; Actinomycetes; Micrococcales; Microbacteriaceae. The record is from RNAcentral.
UGGCGGCGUGCUUAACACAUGCAAGUCGAACGGUGAACACGGAGCUUGCUCUGUGGGAUCAGUGGCGAACGGGUGAGUAACACGUGAGCAACCUGCCCCUGACUCUGGGAUAAGCGCUGGAAACGGCGUCUAAUACUGGAUAUGUGACGUGAUCGCAUGGUCUGCGUCUGGAAAGAAUUUCGGUUGGGGAUGGGCUCGCGGCCUAUCAGCUUGUUGGUGAGGUAAUGGCUCACCAAGGCGUCGACGGGUAGCCGGCCUGAGAGGGUGACCGGCCACACUGGGACUGAGACACGGCCCAGACUCCUACGGGAGGCAGCAGUGGGGAAUAUUGCACAAUGGGCGCAAGCCUGAUGCAGCAACGCCGCGUGAGGGAUGACGGCCUUCGGGUUGUAAACCUCUUUUAGCAGGGAAGAAGCGAAAGUGACGGUACCUGCAGAAAAAGCGCCGGCUAACUACGUGCCAGCAGCCGCGGUAAUACGUAGGGCGCAAGCGUUAUCCGGAAUUAUUGGGCGUAAAGAGCUCGUAGGCGGUUUGUCGCGUCUGCUGUGAAAUCCGGAGGCUCAACCUCCGGCCUGCAGUGGGUACGGGCAGACUAGAGUGCGGUAGGGGAGAUUGGAAUUCCUGGUGUAGCGGUGGAAUGCGCAGAUAUCAGGAGGAACACCGAUGGCGAAGGCAGAUCUCUGGGCCGUAACUGACGCUGAGGAGCGAAAGGGUGGGGAGCAAACAGGCUUAGAUACCCUGGUAGUCCACCCCGUAAACGUUGGGAACUAGUUGUGGGGUCCAUUCCACGGAUUCCGUGACGCAGCUAACGCA